RNAcentral lists this transfer RNA (77 nucleotides) under Synergistaceae bacterium. RNAcentral's name for it is "tRNA-Arg". It matches the Rfam family "tRNA". Rfam says of the family: Transfer RNA (tRNA) molecules are approximately 80 nucleotides in length. The record is from RNAcentral. Lineage: Bacteria; Thermotogati; Synergistota; Synergistia; Synergistales; Synergistaceae.
GUGCCUGUAGCUCAGCUGGAUAGAGUGCCACCCUCCGGAGGUGGAGGUCUGGGGUUCGAAUCCCCACAGGCACGCCA